This 1233-nucleotide long non-coding RNA is filed under the name Astyanax mexicanus (Mexican tetra). Its description in RNAcentral is "lncRNA (ENSAMXG00005008974.1)". The record is from RNAcentral. Lineage: Eukaryota; Metazoa; Chordata; Actinopteri; Characiformes; Acestrorhamphidae.
AUGGAGGCAGAGCUGAAGGGUGGAUCUGAUAAUUCUCUGGCCAACGGAAGUUCCAAUUCUGCCAAACGAGGCAGAGGCAGGCCAAAAGGGUCAGUUAAGAAAGUGGUCGUCUCCGUGACGGAGGUACCACACAAUGCCAGAGCACCGAAAAGAAUCGAUUUUUUUUGUCCAGAAACAGUGCUGAAAACGAAAGUGAAGAAGCGCGGCCGCCCUAAGAAGAUAAGAGUUCUAGGACGGCCGAGAAAAAUCCCUCUAACGCCAGAAGAGGAAGGGGAGAGAAUUUUGAGGUUGAGCCGUCAAAAGAAACGGAAGCUUUCAAAGCCUCUUGGGAGGCCAGGUAUCCAUCCCCUUGUAAGUAACCCAGCGCAGAAAAAGGGAAGAGGCCGACCUCGCAAAUAUGAAGCCUUGUCAAGAGCGUCCCCGCUAAAGAGUACAGCCCCGGGCACACCGCAAAAGAGGGGAAGGCCACAAGGUUCGUUUAAGAACAACCUGGGUUCGCCAGUCGGUUCAAGUCCAGCAAAAAGCCCAAUCGGGGGAACUGGUAGAAGAAGGGGACGACCUCCUGGUUCUGGAAGAAAGAUAACAGCCACUCCAGCAUCAAACGGAUCACCUCGGAAAAGGGGCAGACCCCCAGGCUCUGGAAACAAGUUAAAAAUCACCACUCCGGUGGCCGGCGGUACACCUGGAAAGAGAGGGCGGCCGCCAGGAUCUGGGCUGAAAAUUAAGCUUGCAGCACGGGUCAGUGAUGGAGUUCCUCGCAAGAGGGGGAGACCACCAGGCUCUGGAAACAAGCUAAAAAUCACCAAACAGGACAUAAACAGCACCCCCCGAAAAAGGGGAAGACCGUCAGUUUCAGGAAAUGCAACGACUCCCAGCAGCAGCAAUGCAGUCAGUACUCCCAGCGGCCAAACACGUAAAAGGGGCCGUCCCAGCAAAACAGGCCUGGCUCAAGCCUCUUUAGAAAGUAAUGCUGAAGAAGAGGAUGCUGAGGUGAAUGAUGCUUCCACACCUAAACGACCCCGUAGCGCAUUCACCUCAUCUGAGGGCGAGGAGGCAGAGACAGUGGUGCAGUCUGAAGAUCCAAAUGCCAGUGAGAAUGAGGUUGUGAUGAUAGUUGGUGAUAGUGAGUUGAAGGAUCAGGUGGAAGAGGUUCAGGAGGUUCUUUUAACAGGGAGUGAAAGUAACAGCAAAAAAAGUGCCAGGGGAGCAGGUAAAACCCCCAAAAAGAAGUAA